This 76-nucleotide transfer RNA is filed under the name Campylobacter sp. RM12651. Its description in RNAcentral is "tRNA-Glu". It matches the Rfam family "tRNA". From Rfam's summary of the family: Transfer RNA (tRNA) molecules are approximately 80 nucleotides in length. Their secondary structure includes four short double-helical elements and three loops (D, anti-codon, and T loops). RNAcentral also lists the same sequence under 13 other names. Lineage: Bacteria; Pseudomonadati; Campylobacterota; Epsilonproteobacteria; Campylobacterales; Campylobacteraceae. The record is from RNAcentral.
GACCCUUUCGUCUAGUGGCUCAGGACGCCAUUCUCUCCGUUUGGAAACGAGAGUUCAAAUCUUUCAAGGGUCGCCA